Molecule: ribosomal RNA, 654 nt
Filed under: Linguatula serrata
Lineage: Eukaryota; Metazoa; Arthropoda; Ichthyostraca; Porocephalida; Linguatulidae
Description: 12S ribosomal RNA
Source: RNAcentral
GGGGUUUAGUUUUUGCCUUGGUUAGGGUUAUUGUUAGUAUGUAUAUAUGGAUUUUAGAGGGUGAGGAGUGUAGUAUAUGGAAUUAUUUAUGAUUGGAAGUUGAAUUAGAGAUUUUUUAUAACUGAUAGAUUUAUGUGCCAGCUGUAGCGGUUAGACAUAGGGUUAAGAUUCUAAUGUAUUGUGAGAUUGGAGAUAAAUUUUUGGUGAAAUUUUAGUUGUGGAAGAAGGGGAAGUCAUGAUGUUAAAAUAGGAUUAGAUACCCUAGUAUACGUGAUGGAAGAGGAAGAAGGUUAUUUAAAGAAUUUGGCGGUACUGAGUAAUUUUAGGGGAAUUUGUUUAUGAAAUGAUAUUCCGCGAGGAACUUGCUUUUUUUUAGCUUGUAUAUCGUUGUAUAGAUGAUUUGGGAGUAAGUAAUUUUCGUAAUGAUGGCAAGAAUUCUAAUCAAGGUGCAGCGUAUAAAGGAGAUUAAAUGAGUUACGUUAGGAUAAUUUUCGGAUGUUGAAAUGUAAGGUUUGAUUGAAGAUGGAUUUGAAAGUAAAUUUUUCUUAGAGGGGUUAGUUGAAUAUUUAUGAGGUAAGUACAAAUCGCCCGUCGCUCUAAUUUAAUAAUUAGAUAAGUCGUAACAUAGUAGAUGUAUUGGAAGAUGUAUCUAGG